GGGUUGUGAGGUUAAGCGACUAAGCGUACACGGUGGAUGCCCUGGCAGUCAGAGGCGAUGAAGGACGUGCUAAUCUGCGAUAAGCGCCGGUAAGGUGAUAUGAACCGUUAUAACCGGCGAUUUCCGAAUGGGGAAACCCAGUGUGACUCGUCACACUAUCAUUAACUGAAUCCAUAGGUUAAUGAGGCGAACCGGGGGAACUGAAACAUCUAAGUACCCCGAGGAAAAGAAAUCAACCGAGAUUCCCCCAGUAGCGGCGAGCGAACGGGGAGGAGCCCAGAGCCUGAAUCAGCAUGUGUGUUAGUGGAAGCGUCUGGAAAGGCGCGCGAUACAGGGUGACAGCCCCGUACACAAAAGCGCAUGUGCUGUGAGCUCGAUGAGUAGGGCGGGACACGUGGUAUCCUGUCUGAAUAUGGGGGGACCAUCCUCCAAGGCUAAAUACUCCUGACUGACCGAUAGUGAACCAGUACCGUGAGGGAAAGGCGAAAAGAACCCCGGCGAGGGGAGUGAAAAAGAACCUGAAACCGUGUACGUACAAGCAGUGGGAGCACAGGUUUACCUGUGUGACUGCGUACCUUU
Molecule: ribosomal RNA, 579 nt
Filed under: Salmonella enterica subsp. enterica serovar Saintpaul
Lineage: Bacteria; Pseudomonadati; Pseudomonadota; Gammaproteobacteria; Enterobacterales; Enterobacteriaceae
Description: partial 23S ribosomal RNA
Rfam family: Bacterial large subunit ribosomal RNA
Source: RNAcentral